UUGGAGGGCAAGUCUGGUGCCAGCAGCCGCGGUAAUUCCAGCUCCAAUAGCGUAUAUUAAAGUUGUUGCAGUUAAAAAGCUCGUAGUUGAAUUUCGGGGUUCUACCGUUGGUCGAGCUAUUGUCUGUACUGGCGUGUAGAAUUUCUACCUUCUGGGGAACUAUCAUGUUAUUAAUUUAGCGUGGUAGGAAACCAGGACCUUUACCUUGAAAAAAUUAGAGUGUUCAAAGCAGGCUUAUGUCUGAAUACAUUAGCAUGGAAUAAUAAAAUAGGACGGUGGUCCUGUUUUGUUGGUUUCUGAAUCACCGUAAUGAUUAAUAGGGAUAGUUGGGGGCAUUAGUAUUCAAUUGUCAGAGGUGAAAUUCUUGGAUUUAUUGAAGACUAACUACUGCGAAAGCAUUUGCCAAGGAUGUUUUCAUCAAUCAAGAACGAAAGUUAGGGGAUCGAAGACGAUCAGAUACCGUCGUAGUCUUAACCAUAAACUAUGCCGACUAGGGAUCGGACGAUGUUAACUUUUCUUGACUCGUUCGGCGCCUUACGGGAAA
Molecule: ribosomal RNA, 544 nt
Filed under: uncultured Glomeromycotina
Lineage: Eukaryota; Fungi; Glomeromycota
Description: SSU rRNA
Rfam family: Eukaryotic small subunit ribosomal RNA
Source: RNAcentral